Long non-coding RNA from Pangasianodon hypophthalmus (striped catfish), 525 nucleotides. RefSeq lists it as uncharacterized. The transcript has 3 exons. The record is from RefSeq and is a predicted model, not a curated record. NCBI's taxonomy places the organism in Eukaryota, Metazoa, Chordata, Actinopteri, Siluriformes, Pangasiidae.
UUACGACUUUUGAUCUCUAGUCAAAUGCAGCAUUAGUGAACACUGAAUAUGUUCCAAGGCAAUAUUGUGGAAAAAAAAAAAAAACAUCUCUAAUCCAUAAGGAGUGAGUGGGAAGAGCAGGAACUCUUGCAGAACUACAGUGGGUUGGACUUGUUUCUUUGGAGGGAAGAAAGCCAAACAGUGCUGUAAUUACACACACUCCGUACCCGCUGCUCUUGGCAGGACACAAAGGUCUGGAAUCCUGGAGCGACGCCAAAACCCAGCUGAUCGAUGAACGGCGGCUCAGACUGACUGUGAACCUGAACUUUGAUCCCUGCUUCAAAAGACAUCUCGUCUGAUUAAGAGAGAGAGAGAGAGAGAGAACAUGAAAGCAAUACAGGUAGAAUUGUAAAUAUUCAUCCUGUUGGAUGUCCAGCAUGAUCUCCAGGCCGUUCCCCAUCCCGCCCUUCACACUGAGCAGUGGUGGACCGCUCUCACCCGAGUUAAAUGUGUAGCACUUCCCAUAGCGUGUGAACACCUGAAAAC